This 345-nucleotide unclassified non-coding RNA is filed under the name soil metagenome. RNAcentral's name for it is "partial contains 5.8S ribosomal RNA, internal transcribed spacer 2, and large subunit ribosomal RNA". The stretch from base 1 to 120 matches the Rfam family "5.8S ribosomal RNA", at positions 35 to 154 of the family's 154-position model. The record is from RNAcentral.
GAUGAAGAACGUAGCGAAAUGCGAUACGUAAUGUGAAUUGCAGAAUUCAGUGAAUCAACGAGUCUUUGAACGCACAUUGCGCCCCCUGGUAUUCCGGGGGGCAUGCCUGUCCGAGCGUCAUUGCUGCCCUCAAGCACGGCUUGUGUGUUGGGCCUCCGUCCUCCUCCCGGGGGACGGGCCCGAAAGGCAGCGGCGGCACCGCGUCCGGUCCUCGAGCGUAUGGGGCUUCGUCACCCGCUCUUGUAGGCCCGGCCGGCGCUUGCCGACACAUCAAUCUUUUUUCCAGGUUGACCUCGGAUCAGGUAGGGAUACCCGCUGAACUUAAGCAUAUCAAUAAGCGGAGGA